This 253-nucleotide ribosomal RNA is filed under the name uncultured bacterium. Its description in RNAcentral is "partial 16S ribosomal RNA". It matches the Rfam family "Bacterial small subunit ribosomal RNA", at positions 524 to 776 of the family's 1533-position model. The record is from RNAcentral.
UACGAAGGGGGCUAGCGUUGCUCGGAAUCACUGGGCGUAAAGGGUGCGUAGGCGGAUCUUUAAGUCAGGGGUGAAAUCCUGGAGCUCAACUCCAGAACUGCCUUUGAUACUGAGGAUCUCGAGUUCGGGAGAGGUGAGUGGAACUGCGAGUGUAGAGGUGAAAUUCGUAGAUAUUCGCAAGAACACCAGUGGCGAAGGCGGCUAACUGGUCCGGUUCUGACGCUGAGGCGCGAAAGCGUGGGGAGCAAACAGG